RNAcentral lists this ribosomal RNA (495 nucleotides) under uncultured bacterium. RNAcentral's name for it is "partial 16S ribosomal RNA". It matches the Rfam family "Bacterial small subunit ribosomal RNA", at positions 28 to 507 of the family's 1533-position model. The record is from RNAcentral.
GACGAACGCUGGCGGCGUGCCUAAUACAUGCAAGUAGAACGCUGAAGGAGGAGCUUGCUUCUCUGGAUGAGUUGCGAACGGGUGAGUAACGCGUAGGUAACCUGCCUGGUAGCGGGGGAUAACUAUUGGAAACGAUAGCUAAUACCGCAUAAGAGUAGAUGUUGCAUGACAUUUGCUUAAAAGGUGCAAUUGCAUCACUACCAGAUGGACCUGCGUUGUAUUAGCUAGUUGGUGGGGUAACGGCUCACCAAGGCGACGAUACAUAGCCGACCUGAGAGGGUGAGCGGCCCCAGUGGGACGGGGACACGGCCAAAACUCUUGGGGGGGGCGGAAGGAGGGAUUCUGCGGAAAUGGAGGAAAGUCUGACAGAGAAGCGCGGGGGGAGUAAAGAGGGUUGUCGGUUGAAAAAGCUUGUUUGAAGGAGAAGAACGAGUGGGGGAGUGGAAAGUUCACAUUGUGACGGUAUCUAACAAGAAAGGGAGGGAAAACUACGGG